This 1307-nucleotide ribosomal RNA is filed under the name Bacillus licheniformis. RNAcentral describes it as "bacterial SSU rRNA". It matches the Rfam family "Bacterial small subunit ribosomal RNA", at positions 31 to 1322 of the family's 1533-position model. Lineage: Bacteria; Bacillati; Bacillota; Bacilli; Caryophanales; Bacillaceae. The record is from RNAcentral.
AGGCAUUGGGGGCGUGCUAUACAUGCAAGUCGAGCGGACAGAUGGGAGCUUGCUCCCUGAUGUUAGCGGCGGACGGGUGAGUAACACGUGGGUAACCUGCCUGUAAGACUGGGAUAACUCCGGGAAACCGGGGCUAAUACCGGAUGCUUGAUUGAACCGCAUGGUUCAAUUAUAAAAGGUGGCUUUUAGCUACCACUUACAGAUGGACCCGCGGCGCAUUAGCUAGUUGGUGAGGUAACGGCUCACCAAGGCGACGAUGCGUAGCCGACCUGAGAGGGUGAUCGGCCACACUGGGACUGAGACACGGCCCAGACUCCUACGGGAGGCAGCAGUAGGGAAUCUUCCGCAAUGGACGAAAGUCUGACGGAGCAACGCCGCGUGAGUGAUGAAGGUUUUCGGAUCGUAAAACUCUGUUGUUAGGGAAGAACAAGUACCGUUCGAAUAGGGCGGUACCUUGACGGUACCUAACCAGAAAGCCACGGCUAACUACGUGCCAGCAGCCGCGGUAAUACGUAGGUGGCAAGCGUUGUCCGGAAUUAUUGGGCGUAAAGCGCGCGCAGGCGGUUUCUUAAGUCUGAUGUGAAAGCCCCCGGCUCAACCGGGGAGGGUCAUUGGAAACUGGGGAACUUGAGUGCAGAAGAGGAGAGUGGAAUUCCACGUGUAGCGGUGAAAUGCGUAGAGAUGUGGAGGAACACCAGUGGCGAAGGCGACUCUCUGGUCUGUAACUGACGCUGAGGCGCGAAAGCGUGGGGAGCGAACAGGAUUAGAUACCCUGGUAGUCCACGCCGUAAACGAUGAGUGCUAAGUGUUAGAGGGUUUCCGCCCUUUAGUGCUGCAGCAAACGCAUUAAGCACUCCGCCUGGGGAGUACGGUCGCAAGACUGAAACUCAAAGGAAUUGACGGGGGCCCGCACAAGCGGUGGAGCAUGUGGUUUAAUUCGAAGCAACGCGAAGAACCUUACCAGGUCUUGACAUCCUCUGACAACCCUAGAGAUAGGGCUUCCCCUUCGGGGGCAGAGUGACAGGUGGUGCAUGGUUGUCGUCAGCUCGUGUCGUGAGAUGUUGGGUUAAGUCCCGCAACGAGCGCAACCCUUGAUCUUAGUUGCCAGCAUUCAGUUGGGCACUCUAAGGUGACUGCCGGUGACAAACCGGAGGAAGGUGGGGAUGACGUCAAAUCAUCAUGCCCCUUAUGACCUGGGCUACACACGUGCUACAAUGGGCAGAACAAAGGGCAGCGAAGCCGCGAGGCUAAGCCAAUCCCACAAAUCUGUUCUCAGUUCGGAUCGCAGUCUGCAACUCGACUGCGUG